UACGUAGGGUGCAAGCGUUAAUCGGAAUUACUGGGCGUAAAGCGUGCGCAGGCGGUGAUGUAAGACAGAUGUGAAAUCCCCGGGCUCAACCUGGGAACUGCAUUUGUGACUGCAUCGCUGGAGUGCGGCAGAGGGGGAUGGAAUUCCGCGUGUAGCAGUGAAAUGCGUAGAUAUGCGGAGGAACACCGAUGGCGAAGGCAAUCCCCUGGGCCUGCACUGACGCUCAUGCACGAGAGCGUGGGGAGCAAACAGG
RNAcentral lists this ribosomal RNA (253 nucleotides) under uncultured bacterium. Its description in RNAcentral is "partial 16S ribosomal RNA". It matches the Rfam family "Bacterial small subunit ribosomal RNA", at positions 524 to 776 of the family's 1533-position model. The record is from RNAcentral.